GUCUAUGACCAUACCACCCUGAAUGCAGCCAAUCUUGUCUGAUCUCAGAAGCUAAACAGGGUCAGGCCUGGUUAGUAAAUGGAUGGGAGACAGAUCUUCAGAAGACACUGCUUAGAGACAAGCAGUUUGGAGACA
This 135-nucleotide ribosomal RNA is filed under the name Castor canadensis (American beaver). The record is from RNAcentral. Lineage: Eukaryota; Metazoa; Chordata; Mammalia; Rodentia; Castoridae.